RNAcentral lists this ribosomal RNA (496 nucleotides) under uncultured bacterium. RNAcentral's name for it is "partial 16S ribosomal RNA". It matches the Rfam family "Bacterial small subunit ribosomal RNA", at positions 29 to 507 of the family's 1533-position model. The record is from RNAcentral.
AUGAACGCUGGCGGCGUGCCUAAUACAUGCAAGUCGAGCGAACAGACGAGGAGCUUGCUCCUCUGACGUUAGCGGCGGACGGGUGAGUAACACGUGGAUAACCUACCUAUAAGACUGGGAUAACUUCGGGAAACCGGAGCUAAUACCGGAUAAUAUAUUGAACCGCAUGGUUCAAUAGUGAAAGACGGUUUUGCUGUCACUUAUAGCUGGAUCCGCGCCGCAUUAGCUAGUUGGUAAGGUAACGGCUUACCAAGGCAACGAUGCGUAGCCGACCUGAGAGGGUGAUCGGCCACACUGGAACUGAGACACGGUCCAGACUCCUACGGGAGGCAGCAGUAGGGAAUCUUCCGCAAUGGGCGAAAGCUUGACGGAGCAACGCCGCGUGAGUGAUGAAGGUCUUCGGAUCGUAAAACUCUGUUAUUAGGGAAGAACAAAUGUGUAAGUAACUAUGCACGUCUUGACGGUACCUAAUCAGAAAGCCACGGCUAACUACGUG